This 254-nucleotide ribosomal RNA is filed under the name uncultured bacterium. RNAcentral describes it as "partial 16S ribosomal RNA". It matches the Rfam family "Bacterial small subunit ribosomal RNA", at positions 524 to 776 of the family's 1533-position model. The record is from RNAcentral.
UACAGAGGGGGCAAGCGUUGUUCGGAAUUACUGGGCGUAAAGGGCGCGUAGGCGGCCUGCUAAGUCGAACGUGAAAUCCCCGGGCUCAACCCGGGAACUGCGUCCGAUACUGGCAGGCUUGAAUUCGGGAGAGGGAUGUGGAAUUCCAGGUGUAGCGGUGAAAUGCGUAGAUAUCAGGAGGAACACCGGUGGCGAAGGCGGGUCUCUGGGCAAUAACUGACGCUGGAGGAGCGAAAGCGUGGGGAGCAAACGGG